Molecule: transfer RNA, 90 nt
Filed under: Actinocatenispora sera
Lineage: Bacteria; Bacillati; Actinomycetota; Actinomycetes; Micromonosporales; Micromonosporaceae
Description: tRNA-Pro
Source: RNAcentral
GCGGCGGCAGGCCGCUCGGCGGCCGCCGGAUCGGUGCCGGCCGGCGGGGUCGGGCCGCCGGUGGGUGUGAUCGGCUCGCGACCGUCGCUC